Molecule: ribosomal RNA, 1475 nt
Filed under: Candidatus Pelagibacter sp.
Lineage: Bacteria; Pseudomonadati; Pseudomonadota; Alphaproteobacteria; Candidatus Pelagibacterales; Candidatus Pelagibacteraceae
Description: 16S ribosomal RNA
Rfam family: Bacterial small subunit ribosomal RNA
Source: RNAcentral
AAACUUGAGAGUUUGAUCAUGGCUCAGAACGUACGCUGGCGGCACGCCUAACACAUGCAAGUCGAACGAAGUAGCAAUACUUAGUGGCAGACGGGUGAGUAACAUGUGGGUAUCUGCCCUUUGGCCUGGAAUAACACGAGGAAACUUGUGCUAAUACCGGAUAAGUCUUUACGGAGAAAGCUUUAUGCACCAUUGGAUGAGCCUGCACUUGAUUAGUUUGUUGGUGGGGUAAUGGCCUACCAAGACUGUGAUCAAUAGCUGAUUUGAGAGGAUGAUCAGCCACAUUGGGACUGAGACACGGCCCAAACUCCUACGGGAGGCAGCAGUGGGGAAUCUUGCACAAUGGAGGAAACUCUGAUGCAGCGAUGCCGCGUGAGUGAAGAAGGCCCUUGGGUUGUAAAGCUCUUUCGUCGGGGAAGAAAAUGACUGUACCCGAAUAAGAAGGUCCGGCUAACUUCGUGCCAGCAGCCGCGGUAAUACGAAGGGACCUAGCGUAGUUCGGAAUUACUGGGCUUAAAGAGUUCGUAGGUGGUUGAAAAAGUUAGUGGUGAAAUCCCAGAGCUUAACUCUGGAACUGCCAUUAAAACUUUUCAGCUAGAGUGUGAUAGAGGAAAGCAGAAUUUCUAGUGUAGAGGUGAAAUUCGUAGAUAUUAGAAAGAAUACCAAUUGCGAAGGCAGCUUUCUGGAUCAUUACUGACACUGAGGAACGAAAGCAUGGGUAGCGAAGAGGAUUAGAUACCCUCGUAGUCCAUGCCGUAAACGAUGUGUGUUAGACGUUGGAAAUUUAUUUUCAGUGUCGCAGGGAAACCGAUAAACACACCGCCUGGGGAGUACGACCGCAAGGUUAAAACUCAAAUGAAUUGACGGGGACCCGCACAAGUAGUGGAGCAUGUGGUUUAAUUCGAAGAUACGCGCAGAACCUUACCAACACUUGACAUGUUCGUCGCGACUCUAAGAGAUUAGAGUUUUCGGUUCGGCCGGACGAAACACAGGUGCUGCAUGGCUGUCGUCAGCUCGUGUCGUGAGAUGUUGGGUUAAGUCCCGCAACGAGCGCAACCCUCACUUUUAGUUGCCAUCAUUAAGUUGGGCACUCUGAAAGAACUGCCAGUGAUAAGCUGGAGGAAGGUGGGGAUGACGUCAAGUCCUCAUGGCCCUUACGUGUUGGGCUACACACGUGCUACAAUGGUAUCUACAACAGGAAGCAAGACUGCGAAGUUAAGCAAAUCCCUAAAAGAUACCUCAGUUCGGAUUGCACUCUGCAACUCGAGUGCAUGAAGCUGGAAUUACUAGUAAUCGUGGAUCAGCGUGCCACGGUGAAUGCGUUCCCGGGUCUUGUACACACCGCCCGUCACACCAUGGGAGUUGGUUCUACCUUAAGGCAAGGUUUCAAACCCUUGACCACGGUAUAGUCAGCGACUGGGGUGAAGUCGUAACAAGGUAGCCGUAGGGGAACCUGCGGCUGGAUUACCUCCUUU